UUUUCGAUAUAUUCAAGUAAACGAGUAUUACAAACUUUUCCGUACACGAGAUUUACGAUCUCAAAUUAAAUGAGAAGUUUAAUGUAGUAGAUAUUACCAAAAACUGUCAUAUAAAUUCAGCUUGCGGUUAUGUAAAUUGUAAAUUGUAGUUGCAUCUUGCUAUUUUUUUGAAAAUAAACUAUACAAAACCGUUUUCGAAUAAAUAGCAGUUUUACAACACAUUAAAAAACUGAAAUCUAGCUAGGAGAAUAUUCCUACUUUUAAUUAAAGGGUAUUUACCGACUCUCAUAAUCAUUGCUUACUUAUUAUUAGAGUUUCAUUUUCUGAUAUCAACUUUAAAAUUGUUUAUCGUUUUAUGUAGCUACAUUGUUACUAUCUUUGUCAUCAUAAUAAACCUUAUGAUCUCAAAACUGACGCAAUAAAAUGAAGCACGCCUAUAUAAUUAGAUGAAUAGGGAAUAUAAGCAAUUUUGAAUAUACAGAUAACAAUACCCUUAGGAUUAAUUAGAUAUUUAUAUUUAGAACUUGAUAAAAUAAAUAAACAAUCGUGAAUUUCAAAACUUGAUCUUUAAGACAAAUUUUUAACAAAAAGUGUUGUUAUAUGUAAUAGUAGAAGACGUGAUGCUCAUUUUGAAAAUUUGGUCAAAGACUGUCUAAAAAUCUGUCCAAAAACUUUCUGCGUUAGGCACAGUUUAUGGAUGCAUCAAUUUUACCGAUUGUCUCCAUUCCAAAAUGCAAACACAUCCACACCCAAAUCAAUGUCACAGAACAAGCGACAUCGGUUACUAAUUAAGAGACAUGUUUACCUAUCAAAUUUACAUUGGUACGUGUGCAUAUUGUAUAAACGAUUAUAUUGUGUACAACUAGUGAGGGAUUCGUGUAGAUGACAAUUGAUGCUGAUGAAGAGAGAUAUAUUGAACAUUAGACCAAGAAAACUGCAAGUUAAGAUAACGGUUUUCAAAGAAGUUUUACACUAAAAUUCCUAUUUUGAAUUAUUAUUUGUUAAUAUUGAACAGUCGUAUGUAUUUACCACUAAUAUUUUUAUUAGUGGUUAUUGUAAUUGUUACUAUCUGUGCUGUUAAUUACAUGUAAUUUACGGUAUAAUUUUAUUAAUUUCAUUUUUAAUAUUACCGCAAAUGAAUUUUUAUACGUUUGCUUUUUGUUCUGUUCAUUCUUCUAUUGUGUGAAAGGUAAGGAAGGUCACGGCUUAGAAUAUAAACCACGUCUUGAUAUCACGUCAACUAUUUUGAAGCAAAAAAUAGAGAUAAUAAAUUCAUGUGUCACCAAUAGGACGAUAGUUGUAUUAGAAUUAUAUGAAAACUGAAAUGUACGGUAUAUAUGGUCUAAACAAAAAGAUACUGGAGGUAGACAUAAAUUCAAAAGUUUGUGGCUGUCAAUGACGUAUUCGAAAAUUUUUGAAUAACUUAUUACGAUUUCUUCGAAGUAGAAGUCUUAUUCUUUCUCAUAUAUUAAACAAAUUCUAAAUUGAAAUUCAAUUAAGUCAGUAAAAGCGGAGUUUACAUUAGGUCCUUUAAAUCCUGUUUGACGUAUAUCUCUGGAAAUAUCACUUUUAAGAUUUUCGGAAGAACAUUUUUUUUAAUUUUCUUGUAGGUACUUGUCCUUUGUUUCAAACGAUACUUCAGAUGAUAUAAAUUUGAAAAAUCCUCACAAUUUACUUGCCUAAUCCUUACCGAUAUAAAAGUACUUCUUUAUUUAAAAUGGUCCUAGUUGCUGGUUGUUCGUAUUUGUUUUGUAUUUGUUGAAUUGUUUUCUUUAAAAACUUUUUUAAUAGGUUUCGUACUUACUGAAAACUUAAUUAAAGAAAGGACUAGGAGUUAAUUAAUUAUAUGUUUUCUUAAUUAAUAUUUGUAUCUGAGUAAUAGUGACAAUCUCUUUUAAUAUUUAUUUAUUGGUUGUCCAAAACUUUUUUGCGCUAACCAUAUAAAUUUAUUUGUUUCGUAAAAAGCUAGUGGAAUAUACAUACUAAUAAAUAGUGUUGGCAGUAUAAUUGUUAUUUUUAUUAUCAUCCUGCUACGGACGUUCUCGUGUAAAGCUUUGAUUAGUCGUGUCAGGACACCAUGUUGACGUUGUGUUGUGUGAUUUGUAUCACAAUUGUUAUUUUCGGAACAGUUUAGUCCUUAUCGAAUGCAAUUUUCUAAAGUUUGGAGUGUUUUAUAUGCACAUUUGAGCGUUAAGUGAUAAAAUUGAAUUAAUAUUAAUUGGUGGUUGUAAAAGCGUGAGGAAUGUACCUGAGCUUUCGGGGAAAAUUCCAUCAUAAAAGGGUUUUUGGCAGACAUGGUGGGUUCUCAUGCUAAUGAAAACCUAAGAAUUUGGAUUUAAAAAAGCAAAAAAAAAAAUAGCAUUCAUGAUAACAACGGCAUUUUAUUAUGGAUGCAGACCUCUGAAGAAGUUCUCCACUCGUGGUAGCGAAACGUUAGGAAGCAACUCCAUCACACGACGGUCCUUAGACCCCAAAUCAGAACACCAUCACUUCACUUAUUGGCUGAGAAACACUUUACUAAUUUGUAACUAAUUUUCUGAGGACAUAGUUCGUUCUUUUACUAAUGCAUAGAUAAUGGAAGAAAAUGAGCUUACAAACGUAGAAAAUGGG
This is a long non-coding RNA of Agrilus planipennis (emerald ash borer), 2610 nucleotides long. RefSeq lists it as uncharacterized. Lineage: Eukaryota; Metazoa; Arthropoda; Insecta; Coleoptera; Buprestidae. The transcript has 4 exons. The record is from RefSeq and is a predicted model, not a curated record.